Bos taurus (domestic cattle) is the source of this 72-nucleotide non-coding RNA. The record is from Rfam. NCBI's taxonomy places the organism in Eukaryota, Metazoa, Chordata, Mammalia, Artiodactyla, Bovidae.
UCCCUGCUAGCUUAGCUGGUAAAGAAUCCGCCUGCAGUGUGGGAGACCUGGGUUGGAUCCCUGGGUUGGGAA